GGGUCCAUAACUCAGUGGUAGAGCAAUUGACUGCAGAUCAAUAGGUCACCGGUUCGAAUCCGGUUGGGCCCU
Molecule: transfer RNA, 72 nt
Filed under: Triticum aestivum (bread wheat)
Lineage: Eukaryota; Viridiplantae; Streptophyta; Magnoliopsida; Poales; Poaceae
Also listed under: 1 other name
Description: tRNA-Cys (GCA) (tRNA-Cys-GCA-10-1)
Rfam family: tRNA
About the family: Transfer RNA (tRNA) molecules are approximately 80 nucleotides in length. Their secondary structure includes four short double-helical elements and three loops (D, anti-codon, and T loops). Further hydrogen bonds mediate the characteristic L-shaped molecular structure. tRNAs have two regions of fundamental functional importance: the anti-codon, which is responsible for specific mRNA codon recognition, and the 3' end, to which the tRNAs corresponding amino acid is attached (by aminoacyl-tRNA synthetases). tRNAs cope with the degeneracy of the genetic code in two manners: having more than one tRNA (with a specific anti-codon) for a particular amino acid; and 'wobble' base-pairing, i.e. permitting non-standard base-pairing at the 3rd anti-codon position.
Source: Rfam by way of RNAcentral